CCCUUAGAUGUUCUGGGCUGCACGCGCGCUACACUGAUGCACUCAACGAGUUUACGACCUUGUCCGAGAGGAUUGGGUAAUCUUUUUAAAAUGCAUCGUGAUGGGGAUAGAUUAUUGCAAUUAUUAAUCUUCAACGAGGAAUUCCUAGUAAGCGCGAGUCAUCAGCUCGUGCUGAUUACGUCCCUGCCCUUUGUACACACCGCCCGUCGCCCCUACCGAUUGGGUGAGCCGAUGAAACUCUCGGAUGUAGGCUAUUCAUAGCCCGCAGAAGAGAUUUGAAUCGUAGCGCUUAGAGGAAGGAGAAGUCGUAACA
Molecule: ribosomal RNA, 313 nt
Filed under: uncultured eukaryote
Lineage: Eukaryota
Description: partial 18S ribosomal RNA
Rfam family: Eukaryotic small subunit ribosomal RNA
Source: RNAcentral